RNAcentral lists this ribosomal RNA (408 nucleotides) under uncultured bacterium. Its description in RNAcentral is "bacterial SSU rRNA". It matches the Rfam family "Bacterial small subunit ribosomal RNA", at positions 28 to 436 of the family's 1533-position model. The record is from RNAcentral.
GACGAACGCUGGCGGCGUGCUUAACACAUGCAAGUCGAGCGGUAAGGCCCUUUCGGGGGUACACGAGCGGCGAACGGGUGAGUAACACGUGGGUGACCUGCCCUCAGCUCUGGGAUAAGCCUGGGAAACCGGGUCUAAUACUGGAUAUGACUCCAUGACGCAUGUUGUGGGGUGGAAAGCCUUGUGCGGCUGAGGAUGGGCCCGCGGCCUAUCAGCUUGUUGGUGGGGUGANGGCCUACCAAGGCGACGACGGGUAGCCGGCCUGAGAGGGCGACCGGCCACACUGGGACUGAGACACGGCCCAGACUCCUACGGGAGGCAGCAGUGGGGAAUAUUGGACAAUGGGGGAAACCCUGAUCCAGCGACGCCGCGUGUGUGAAGAAGGCCUGGCGGGUUGUAAAGCACUUU